This is a long non-coding RNA of Alosa alosa (allis shad), 655 nucleotides long. RefSeq lists it as uncharacterized. The transcript has 3 exons. NCBI's taxonomy places the organism in Eukaryota, Metazoa, Chordata, Actinopteri, Clupeiformes, Clupeidae. The record is from RefSeq and is a predicted model, not a curated record.
AAUCUCCUAGUAUCCCUACCACCAACCCAAACAACCCCUAUCAACACAACAACAACUGCCUGGCCAACAAAUUAUACACUACCAUCAUUCAGCACAGAGGUCAGGGAAGCCCUAUUAAAAAAAGACCCAGCGUUUUAUAAGAAGGACAAGUCACACAUCUGGACUGAUCAGCCUUCUUUUUGAUGACAUGACCCGGUAUGCCUGGUAUCCAAACCAUUAAAUGUACAGUGAUGUCCUGGGAACACUAAUAACCCGGCAUCAAUUUCUUAUGGAUGGAAGCCUCUCUGGCUCACUACAGAGUCAGUGAAAGGGGAAGACGUUCAAAUCAUCUGUGAACACAUGAAGGCCAUCAGUGCAGAGCUGGAAAAAAACAGGCCAAAUUUUGAUAAUAUAAAGUGGAGGAUGGAAAGAACUCUUCAUGCACAGACUCCUCUAUACAACACUGCAACCACCACAGGACUGUUUGAACAUUGUCCCUUCCUUAAAGACCCUCUUCUACUAAGCAGUAAAAAAAAUCGAUGUAAAUCAAUGCACAUAUUCAGGCAAUGCAGGGGCAUACAAUUGACAAUACUUUAUGAAAUGGAGCUGAGAUUUGGGCAGGAUCUGUGCUCAGCAGUUACCUACACAACACUGCAGAGCAGAUUUUGAGCGUCUC